This 252-nucleotide ribosomal RNA is filed under the name uncultured bacterium. RNAcentral's name for it is "partial 16S ribosomal RNA". It matches the Rfam family "Bacterial small subunit ribosomal RNA", at positions 525 to 776 of the family's 1533-position model. The record is from RNAcentral.
ACGGAGGGUCCAAGCGUUAUCCGGAUUUAUUGGGUUUAAAGGGUCCGUAGGCGGAAAAUUAAGUCAGUGGUGAAAUCCUACAGCUCAACUGUAGAACUGCCAUUGAAACUGAUUUUCUUGAAUAUAGUUGAAGUGGGCGGAAUGUGUAGUGUAGCGGUGAAAUGCAUAGAUAUUACACAGAACGCCAAUUGCGAAGGCAGCUCACUAAGUUAUUAUUGACGCUGAGGGACGAAAGCGUGGGGAGCGAACAGG